This 441-nucleotide ribosomal RNA is filed under the name uncultured Pelagibacterales bacterium. RNAcentral describes it as "bacterial SSU rRNA". It matches the Rfam family "Bacterial small subunit ribosomal RNA", at positions 1077 to 1533 of the family's 1533-position model. Lineage: Bacteria; Pseudomonadati; Pseudomonadota; Alphaproteobacteria; Candidatus Pelagibacterales. The record is from RNAcentral.
UGGGUAGUCCGCACGAGCGCACCUUACUUUUAGUUGCUACCAUUUAGUUGGGCACUCUAAAAGAACUGCCAGUGAUAAGCUGGAGGAAGGUGGGGAUGACGUCAAGUCCUCAUGGCCCUUACGUGUUGGGCUACACACGUGCUACAAUGGUACUCACAGAGAGAAGCUAAGAGGCGACUCCAAGCUAAUCCCAAAAAGGUACCUCAGUUCGGAUUGCACUCUGCAACUCGAGUGCAUGAAGCUGGAAUUACUAGUAAUCGCGGAUCAGCGCGCCGCGGUGAAUACGUUCCCGGGUCUUGUACACACCGCCCGUCACACCAUGGAAGUUGGUUACACCUUAAGGCAAAGUGUAAAACCUUUGACUACGGUACGAUCAGCAACUGGGGUGAAGUCGUAACAAGGUAGCCGUAGGGGAACCUGCGGCUGGAUCACCUCCUUUCU